AAGAUGGCUCAUGCUUUUGCAUU
This 23-nucleotide small RNA is filed under the name Arabidopsis thaliana (thale cress). Its description in RNAcentral is "ATSL086740". The record is from RNAcentral. Lineage: Eukaryota; Viridiplantae; Streptophyta; Magnoliopsida; Brassicales; Brassicaceae.